Molecule: RNA transcript, 1921 nt
Organism: Xenia sp. Carnegie-2017
Lineage: Eukaryota; Metazoa; Cnidaria; Anthozoa; Malacalcyonacea; Xeniidae
Gene name: eukaryotic translation initiation factor 2 subunit 1-like
Exons: 8
Source: RefSeq, a predicted model, not a curated record
CCCAUUCACCUUCACUAUUGUGAAACAAUAAUAAAUACAUUUACGAUAUUAGUUGUAAAUACAUUUUAUUAUGUCAUAUGAACCAUACCAAAGAGAGCAAAGAUAAAUCCCAUUUCACCACCAACCUAUGUUGUCAUGACAACAACAAUGAAUCGAGAAGAAGGUUUGAAAGCUUUGGAAACAUCUGUCAAAGACAUUAAAGAAGUCAUUAUGAACAAGAAAGGAACAUUUGUUUUACAACAAGCUGAACAACUACAAUGAAUCAAGAAGAAGGUUUAAAAGCUUUGGAAACAUCUAUCAAAGCCAUUGAAGAAGUCAUUAUGAACAAGAAAGGAACAUUUGUUUUACAACAAGCUAUAAAUCCCAUUUCACCACCUACCUAUGUUGUCAUGACAACAACAAUGAAUCGAGAAGAAGGUUUGAAAGCUUUGAAAACUUCAAUCAAAACCAUGGAAGAAGUCAUUAUGAACAAGAAAGGAACAUUUGUUUUACAACAAGCUCUUGGAAGAGAUUUGGACAGUACAGCAUGUUCAUGAGAGAUCAAAGAAUGACCAUGUGUCUCAAAAGGAAGAUCAUGGACACUGUCAUACUACCAGCAAUGACUUAUGGAGCAGAGACGUGGGCACUUACCAACCAUCAAAGAGAGAAACUGGCAAUCACCAAAGGAGCAUGGAAAGAUCAAUGCUCGGUGUCACGAGGAGAGAUAAGAUCCGGAAUGAAGACCUGAGAGCAAGAACAAAGGUGAAGGAUGUCAUCGAGAAAGUUAAUGAAGCCAAAGGAAAGUGGGCAGGACAUCUAGCCCGAAUGAAAAACCAUGAAUGGGCAAAGAAAACAUCUGAAAGGACCCCGUGGGACAAGAAAAGAGGCAAGGGAAGACCAAAAAUGAGAUGGAGAGAUGACAUCGAGCAGAGAGCGGACAGCAUGUGGAUCCAGAGAGCCCAAGACCGUGAAGAGUGGAGAAAGAUGUGGAAGCCAUCCGCCAGCAGUGGCGUGACAGGCUGAUGAUGAUGAUGAUGAUGAUGAUGUUGUUCUUAUACUUUAGUACAUCACGAUGGUUCGCCAAAGAUUGUCACAGAUAUGGAUGAAGCAGACUUUGCAAAGGAACUAGAAAAACUUGAACUUCCAAAUGCAGAAGUUGAUGGUGAUGAUGAUAAUCCUGAUGAUGAUGAAGAACAAGAUGAAGCAAAAAUGAUUGUGGAUUUUCAUUGGUUGAUAAUUCCUCGAGAUUUUGAUUGGUUAGUUGGGGGAAACUGUUGUACUUCCGACGUUGGCAAAACAAGUUACACUCAACGAAACGUGCAAACGAACUAAGACGACGAACGACUAACACAGAGGUGAUUCUUAAUGUCUCAGAUCUAUCUCAAUUUUCAAAGCGUGCAAACGAAACUUUCAACUUGAUUUGUACAUUUUUACCUUCGUGGCUAACUUGGCUUCAGUAAAAGAGUCGUUACCAAGGCCAAAAAAACAGAGCUUCAGGGUUAAAACUCUCUACUGGUUAUAAAAAUUCUGCCUUAAUCAGAAGUUUGUAAAAGGAAUAAAAACGCGAAAACUGUGAUUUUGUAAUACAAAAAUAAGGAAAGGAGCGAAAACGGUGAAAAAAUCCAGAGCUAACUUUAAUCAAACACGGACGAGAGGAAAAUCGCGAGAGCUUGGAGAAAGUACAUCAAAACGAAAAAAUAAUUCCCGUUCACAAAACGUUCCAGAGAGUGUUGCAGAGGAUCAAGGGAUGGAAUCUGGAGCAGAAAGAAUCAGACUGGAAUAUUUAAUAUUUUUACUCGUACUUUUAUAUUUGAAACUUCUUAUUGAAUUGUAUGAUUUACAUCUUCCUUCAAUUCCUGAAGAACUUUAAAUAUCUAUAAUUUGUACAAGUGUGCCGUGAACAUAAUAAUAAUUGAAAUAUUAACUAAUUAGAACAAAUGUA